CUAACAAGGAUUCCCCUAGUAACGGCGAGUGAAGCGGGAUGAGCUCAAAUUUGUAAUCUGGCGGCCUGUGGUCGUCCGAGUUGUAGUCUGGAGAAGCGUCUUCCGCGUCGGACCGUGUACAAGUCCCUUGGAACAGGGCGUCAUAGAGGGUGAGAAUCCCGUCUUUGACACGGACUGCCGAUGCUAUGCGAUGCGCUCUCGAAGAGUCGAGUUGUUUGGGAAUGCAGCUCAAAACGGGUGGUAAAUUCCAUCUAAAGCUAAAUAUGGGCAAAAGACCGAUAGCGAACAAGUACCGUGAGGGAAAGAUGAAAAGCACUUUGAAAAGAGAGUUAAACAGUACGUGAAAUUGUUGAAAGGGAAACGCUUGAAGUCAGUCGCGUCUCUCGGGAGUCAGCCUUGCUUUGUUGCUUGGUGUAUUUCCUGGGGUGACGGGCCAGCAUCGAUUUUGACCGUCGGAGAAAGGCUUCGGGAAUGUGGCACCCUCGGGUGUGUUAUAGCUCGGGGUCGUAUGCGACGGUUGGGAUCGAGGACCGCAGCACGCCUUCAUUGGCCGGGGGGACGCCCCACGUAACGUGCUUAGGAUGCUGGCGUAAUGGCUUUAAGCGACCCGUCUUG
RNAcentral lists this ribosomal RNA (615 nucleotides) under Ramaria botrytis var. aurantiiramosa. RNAcentral's name for it is "eukaryotic LSU rRNA". It matches the Rfam family "Eukaryotic large subunit ribosomal RNA", at positions 65 to 656 of the family's 3401-position model. The record is from RNAcentral. Lineage: Eukaryota; Fungi; Basidiomycota; Agaricomycetes; Gomphales; Gomphaceae.